This is a long non-coding RNA of Alligator sinensis (Chinese alligator), 441 nucleotides long. RefSeq lists it as uncharacterized. The record is from RefSeq and is a predicted model, not a curated record. The transcript is spliced from 3 exons. Lineage: Eukaryota; Metazoa; Chordata; Crocodylia; Alligatoridae.
AAGAGCUCCAUGGAGAUGCUUGGCUGCCUGUCCAGUUACUAUAGGGAGAACUCCUGGUGACCCCCAGAGAAGCUGUGGCAGCCCCACAAGGAGGAUCCUAAUAGACAGUGGGAAGCAGGAGCAUGGAGUCAUUAAAAAACCAUCACAGUUAUGUGAGUGACUGAGGCACAUGCUGGUGGAAAGAGCACUAGAGAGACUUCACGGACAUGGAUACAGGGCUCACGCAGGGUGCAGUGCAUGGUGAAGUUCUGGAAUGGUUGUUUACCUGCUGCCAUGAGCUCCACAACCUGGGGGAUGAAGCUGCCAAUGAAACUUUCUGCAUUGUCAUUCCAAUGUGUGCUCCUGUUGUAAGUAUACAAAAAUUUCCUCUUCUUACCAUGAUUCUAAAUUCCAGUCAAAUGAAAUUGUGUGUGUGUGUGUGUGUGUGUGUGUGUGUGUGUG